This 534-nucleotide ribosomal RNA is filed under the name uncultured bacterium. RNAcentral's name for it is "partial 16S ribosomal RNA". It matches the Rfam family "Bacterial small subunit ribosomal RNA", at positions 355 to 902 of the family's 1533-position model. The record is from RNAcentral.
UGGGGAAUAUUGCACAAUGGGCGAAAACCUGAUGCAGCAACGCCGCGUGAGUGAUGAAGGCCUUCGGGUUGUAAAGCUCUGUCUUUUGGGACGAUAAUGACGGUACCAAAGGAGGAAGCCACGGCUAACUACGUGCCAGCAGCCGCGGUAAUACGUAGGUGGCAAGCGUUGUCCGGAUUUACUGGGCGUAAAGGAUGCGUAGGCGGAUUUUUAAGUGAGAUGUGAAAACCCUAAGCUUAACUUGGGGACUGCAUUUCAUACUGGAAAUCUAGAGUGCGGGAGAGGAGAAUGGAAUUCCUAGUGUAGCGGUGAAAUGCGUAGAGAUUAGGAAGAACACCAGUGGCGAAGGCGAUUCUCUGGACCGUAACUGACGCUGAGGCAUGAAAAGCGUGGGUAGCAAACAGGAUUAGAUACCCUGGUAGUCCACGCCGUAAAACGAUGAGUACUAGGUGUAGGAGGUAUCGACCCCUUCUGUGCCGCAGUUAACACAAUAAGUACUCCGCCUGGGAAGUACGAUCGCAAGAUUAAAAACUC